UACGUAGGGGGCAAGCGUUGUCCGGAAUCAUUGGGCGUAAAGCGCGUGUAGGCGGCUCGGUAAGUCUGUUCUGAAAGUCCAGGGCUCAACCCUGGGAUGCGGAUGGAUACUGUCGAGCUCGAGUCCGGAAGAGGCGAGUGGAAUUCCUGGUGUAGCGGUGAAAUGCGUAGAUAUCGGGAGGAACAUCAGUGGCGAAGGCGGCUACCUGGCCCAAUACUGACACUCAGGUGCGACAGCGUGGGGAGCAAACAGG
RNAcentral lists this ribosomal RNA (253 nucleotides) under uncultured bacterium. Its description in RNAcentral is "partial 16S ribosomal RNA". It matches the Rfam family "Bacterial small subunit ribosomal RNA", at positions 524 to 776 of the family's 1533-position model. The record is from RNAcentral.